Molecule: long non-coding RNA, 436 nt
Organism: Sebastes umbrosus (honeycomb rockfish)
Lineage: Eukaryota; Metazoa; Chordata; Actinopteri; Perciformes; Sebastidae
Exons: 2
Source: RefSeq, a predicted model, not a curated record
GAUGUGAGGGCUGUUGGUUAGGACCCAGAUGCAGACACAGACACAGCUGGAUGGUGGUUGAAAAGCAGGUGGAUUUAUUAUAAUAAAGGUGGUAUGGGCACUGGAGAAGGCAGGGGACAGGCAGGCUGCUGAGCAGGGUGGAGUGGCUGGAGGAAUGAGCUGAGGCGGCGUGAGGAUGGCUCGAUGGGAGGCUGGCACUGGAAUCCAGAACACAGGAGAACACAAUGUUAAUACUAGAAGCACAAGAAUAACUCUGGUAAUUAUAAUACAGAGUGGCCGAGAGAAUACCAACUGGUGCAGAGUGCAGAGUGGAGAGUGAGACCAGGUGCCUGAUGAGGAAGCCGCGCCCCUGCCACACCCACAGGCAGGGGAGGGGGAGACCCAGGGGAAGCAGAACACCGGAAAACUACUGGAGUCAAGGCCAGAGCCGUGACAG